UCGAAUCCAGAGCAACGCGCCAGCGUGUGU
This 30-nucleotide small RNA is filed under the name Bombyx mori (domestic silkworm). Its description in RNAcentral is "ovarian small RNA-7472". Lineage: Eukaryota; Metazoa; Arthropoda; Insecta; Lepidoptera; Bombycidae. The record is from RNAcentral.